UGGCCAGACUCCUACGGGAGGCAGCAGUGAGGAAUAUUGGUCAAUGGGCGGGAGCCUGAACCAGCCAAGCCGCGUGAGGGAAGAAGGUACAGCGUAUCGUAAACCUCUUUUGUCAGGGAACAAAGGCGGGGACUAGUCCCCGGAUGAGGGUACCUGAAGAAAAAGCAUCGGCUAACUCCGUGCCAGCAGCCGCGGUAAUACGGAGGAUCCGAGCGUUAUCCGGAUUUAUUGGGUUUAAAGGGAGCGUAGGUGGAUUGUUAAGUCAGUUGUGAAAGUUUGCGGCUCAACCGUAAAAUUGCAGUUGAAACUGGCAGUCUUGAGUACAGUAGAGGUGGGCGGAAUUCGUGGUGUAGCGGUGAAAUGCUUAGAUAUCACGAAGAACUCCGAUUGCGAAGGCAGUUCACUGGACUGCAACUGACACUGAGGCUCGAAAGUGUGGGUAUCGAACAGGAUUAGAUACCCCUGUA
This 467-nucleotide ribosomal RNA is filed under the name uncultured bacterium. RNAcentral describes it as "bacterial SSU rRNA". It matches the Rfam family "Bacterial small subunit ribosomal RNA", at positions 328 to 792 of the family's 1533-position model. The record is from RNAcentral.